This 60-nucleotide transfer RNA is filed under the name Macridiscus melanaegis. RNAcentral describes it as "tRNA-Cys". Lineage: Eukaryota; Metazoa; Mollusca; Bivalvia; Venerida; Veneridae. The record is from RNAcentral.
AGAUAGCUUGUCUAAGGGCUUGGCCUUUUAGUUUAUAAAAAUGUUGAAUUGCAAACUCAA